Molecule: ribosomal RNA, 253 nt
Filed under: uncultured bacterium
Lineage: Bacteria
Description: partial 16S ribosomal RNA
Rfam family: Bacterial small subunit ribosomal RNA
Source: RNAcentral
UACAGAGGGUGCGAGCGUUGUCCGGAAUCACUGGGCGUAAAGGGCGCGUAGGCGGCAUGGCAAGUGGAUGGUGAAAUCCCUCGGCUUAACCGAGGAACUGCCGUCCAAACUGCUUCGCUUGAGACCGGGAGAGGUGAGUGGAAUUCCCAGUGUAGCGGUGAAAUGCGUAGAUAUUGGGAGGAACACCAGUGGCGAAGGCGGCUCACUGGACCGGUACUGACGCUGAAGCGCGAAAGCGUGGGGAGCAAACGGG